AGUAACGCGUGGGUAACCUGCCUCAUACAGGGGGAUAACAGUUGGAAAUGACUGCUAAUACCGCAUAAGCGCACAGUGCUGCAUGGCACAGUGUGAAAAACUCCGGUGGUAUGAGAUGGACCCGCGUCUGAUUAGCUAGUUGGUGGGGUAACGGCCUACCAAGCCGACGAUCAGUAGCCGACCUGAGAGGGUGACCGGCCACAUUGGGACUGAGACACGGCCCAA
Molecule: ribosomal RNA, 225 nt
Filed under: uncultured bacterium
Lineage: Bacteria
Description: partial 16S ribosomal RNA
Rfam family: Bacterial small subunit ribosomal RNA
Source: RNAcentral